RNAcentral lists this transfer RNA (62 nucleotides) under Empoasca sp. EMHAU_031203. Its description in RNAcentral is "tRNA-Tyr". Lineage: Eukaryota; Metazoa; Arthropoda; Insecta; Hemiptera; Cicadellidae. The record is from RNAcentral. RNAcentral also lists the same sequence under 1 other name.
AUUAAGAUGUCCGAAUUAGGUGAUAAAUUGUAAAUUUAUUUAAAGGUUUAACCUUCUUAGUA